UACGAAGGGGGCUAGCGUUGCUCGGAAUCACUGGGCGUAAAGGGUGCGUAGGCGGGUUCUUAAGUCAGGGGUGAAAUCCUGGAGCUCAACUCCAGAACUGCCUUUGAUACUGAAGAUCUUGAGUCCGGGAGAGGUGAGUGGAACUGCGAGUGUAGAGGUGAAAUUCGUAGAUAUUCGCAAGAACACCAGUGGCGAAGGCGGCUCACUGGCCCGGUACUGACGCUGAGGCACGAAAGCGUGGGGGGCAAACAGG
Molecule: ribosomal RNA, 253 nt
Filed under: uncultured bacterium
Lineage: Bacteria
Description: partial 16S ribosomal RNA
Rfam family: Bacterial small subunit ribosomal RNA
Source: RNAcentral